RNAcentral lists this long non-coding RNA (431 nucleotides) under Rattus norvegicus (Norway rat). RNAcentral's name for it is "long non-coding RNA NONRATT016858". Lineage: Eukaryota; Metazoa; Chordata; Mammalia; Rodentia; Muridae. The record is from RNAcentral.
CUGCCAAGGAUGACCUAUGGAAAAGUUGCACCUUUGAAGUUCUGUGGACUACUACAAUUUCAAGGGGCCCUGAAGAUCACCAAGGCUAUUAUUUCAGAUAAUAUUGGUGCCUAUGUGACCAGGAUUUAGAGAUUGUCCAUUGAAGACCUGUGGAUUCACCAUUGAGUAUAAAACUGAAGACAAUGACUGCCCCUCUUCUAGAAUCUAUCAAUAACCAUUGUUUAUCAGAGAGGAUAUAACUCCAAGAGCCCCUCCUGUUCCAUGAUUGAGUAAUGACAGUAUCAAUCUUCAGAUAGUCUAGAGGAGACCUUAGCCUCUGUGGGAUCAUGGUUGCAAUGGCUAUAUUGUGCCCAGAAGAUAACAUUUUGUAGUUCUUUUAUCUUCUGGUUCUCUUCAUAAACUAGAUAUAUAUCAUAAACAAAUUGAACUUG